Lactuca sativa (garden lettuce) is the source of this 2620-nucleotide long non-coding RNA. RefSeq lists it as uncharacterized. NCBI's taxonomy places the organism in Eukaryota, Viridiplantae, Streptophyta, Magnoliopsida, Asterales, Asteraceae. The record is from RefSeq and is a predicted model, not a curated record.
CCUAUUCCCGCAAUAUAUACGUUCUUCAGAUAUCCCGCUGACCCGCUCUCAGACUACUCCCAUUGGUGACCGAUGGCGACAUCUGUAACUCCUCCGCUCCCCGGAGACCAAAGCAUCACCUUCCUUCGCCGGAGAUCUAAGAAACUUUUGGAAUUCAAAAGGACUGGUUUGUAGUCAACCGUUAUAUAUACGUUAUUCAGUCAUUCCGCUCUCAACAAACCCAAACACACCCAGACCCAUAGCGAUCUAUGUAACUACACUUCCGGAGACGUAAACACCCACAACUUUCAAAUGAGACUCUCAUUCAUCUCUCUAGUCCUAGAAAUUAUCAAGAUCGUUGUAAGUUUUUCUAGGGUUUUUUUGUGAUUAAGAUAUUGUAAUUUCCAUUUAAAUAUUAAAUUGUUGUUUGAAUAAGAAAGAAUCAAAGGUUAAUUGAUAAUUUUUUUUCCUCUCUGCUCGUUGGGGUUUCUACUUUCUAGUAAAACACACUCCAAUUUGCUUAUGUUUUACUGAUUCGUGACUGAUUGAUAUUUUACCAUAAACAAAUUAACGGAAGAUAGUUUAUAUUUUUAUUGCAUUUAGCCUUGUUAUCCGAUGUAUGCGUUUGUGUGAUGAAGAACAGGGCUCUGGAGUCAGGAUAUAUCCAAAUAAGAAAUUUUUUGAUGUGUAAAACUAAUUUAUGUGUAAAAUUCGGUAUGUAUUUGUUACUGAUAAAUGUUUCAUGUUAUCUUAUAUAGGAUUGAUAAGAAACUUACAUUGGACUCAUGGAUUAAUUUUGCACUGGAUCAGGUUUCACUGAAUGGACUUAAUCAGAACAACUGAACAAGACUUAAUUCAGUAAGGUUGUUUCUUUUUACUUAAUGCAUAAAGAAAGGCUUAAUGCAAAAUGCCAAGGAAAGAAGGUUUUCCCAAUUAGAGGUAGUUAUAACCUUUAGGCUACAAUAAACCUUUUCCAUUUAUAAAAAUGCCAAUUUUGAAGUUUUGAUGAUUACUAUAUUAAUGACUGAAGUGGUGUAUUUCUUUGGUCCAAGGCAAAAGAGAUCGAAUUGGCAAGUGGGAUUAUUAUUUUUCUCCCUAAUUCUACAAAAUUUAUAAAUUAUUGAAUUAAGUAGUGCUUUUAUUUGUUAGGAAUAAGCUACUGUGAAGAAGAACUAUGGUGAGAAGGUGCUUAUUCAGUGCCACCCAUGCAGUGAUGAUGUAGUUUUAACCUUAUCAAGGAGAAUUUAUAGGGAUUAGAACUGUAUUCUACUCUCGCGACCAAUGUGGGAAUGCAUAUGCUAUUGUGAAGAACUAUGGUGAGAAGGUGCUUAUUCAGGUUAGUUAAUAAGUGGUCAUAUUAGUCUUUGAUCUUCUUUCAAAAUACAGUGCCACCCAUGCUAUUUUCAAUGAUGAUAUAAGUGUAUUAAUGUAGUUUUAACCUUAUCAAGGGAAAUUUAUAGGGAUUAGAAAUGUAUUAUAAUACUCUUGCGACCCAAUUUCUCUUUUUUCCCUCUUCCUGUAAGUAAUUUUGAGCAAAUUGUUCAUCUUUAUUGGAUUCUGAUUUUUUUUUUUUAUAUUUUUUUAUUAUUACAUUUCAGGCAAACUGAUAUUUUUUGCAGUAACAAAUCGCUUUGUAUUUGGUUAAACUGGGUAGAUUUUUGAAAGUAAAAUGUUGAAAAAAGAUGAUAGAGAUGAAUAUUGUUAUAGUCUAGACAUGAAAGAGAUGAAUUAGAACAAUUGAGUAGGAAUCUGAUUGAAUGAUUAGAGUAAAAUCACUCCAGAAACAGGAUACCUAACCACUUGUUAACAGUCCUUAUUUGUACUUGUAUUCACCACCGACUUAGCUAAAAGGACUAUAAUGCCCUUGACUCAAAUAAACACAAAAGUCAAACAGUCACAACAGUUACUUCCUAUUUCUUGCAAUUAGAUUCGCAGGAGAGGACACUCACAAACCAUCUUUAUUAUCAUUUCUCACCUGUCCCUUUUACUUCAGUUCUCUAGGGAUAAAUUUCAGGAAAUAGCAGCAUACUUCUUGUAUUUCAUAUGUUAAGAAAGUAUGUAUUUCAUCUUAUUCUUUCUGGUGGCUUACUUUAAUUUUACUCUUCUUUCUAAGUUUGUGUGUUUCUGUUUUUAAAAGGAUUCAUUUUCAUAUCAGAUAUGAGGACACUGAAAGGUAAUUAACUUCAAAUUCUCUUUGUUGUCUUGUUACUGUGUUUCUAGCUAAUUCCUUUUGUAUUAUAGCAAUCCUGACCUGUGUUGGAUGCAAUUUCUUGAUAUCAUUGAUGUGAUAUUAUUAUUCUUUUUAAAUACUUGGGUAUCAUGUUUUGGGAUUCUUUAGUUACUUUAUUUCUAUUAUGGGUAUUUUUCUGUUCUCCAAAUUGGUAUGAUUGGUAUGUAAUGUAUUCAGCAGUGUAAAUUGAUGUUUUAGAUUUCAACCACCAUGUCAUUAUUGUUGUAAUUAGGAUCAUCUUCAGAUUUGGCACAAAGGAUGGAAAACCAGCCAAUGCUCCUUUAGUUCACUAGAUGUGAAUUUUUGAAAUUUCUCUAAAUAGUUUUCAUAUUUUGAUGCGUCCAUUUCUCUUUCUAAUUAUACGCAUCUAUCUACCUUUUUUAAUGGUUAUGUGUUGACGAUUGAUGUUCA